Molecule: non-coding RNA, 73 nt
Organism: Sus scrofa (pig)
Lineage: Eukaryota; Metazoa; Chordata; Mammalia; Artiodactyla; Suidae
Source: Rfam
UCCCUGGUAGCCUAGUGGUUAAGGAUCCAGCAUUGUCAUUGCUGUGGCUCAGGUUCGAUCCCUGGCCUGGGAA